GUGCCAGCAGCCGCGGUAAUACAGAGGUGGCGAGCGUUGUUCGGAAUUACUGGGCGUAAAGGGCGCGUAGGCGGUCUUGUAAGUCUUGUGUGAAAUCCCUCGGCUUAACUGAGGAACUGCACGAGAUACUGUUUGACUUGAGUUCGGGAGAGGGAAGCGGAAUUCCGGGUGUAGCGGUGAAAUGCGUAGAUAUCCGGAGGAACACCGGUGGCGAAGGCGGCUUCCUGGACCGACACUGACGCUGAGGCGCGAAAGCUAGGGGAGCAAACGGGAUUAGAUACCCCGGUAGUCCUAGCUGUAAACGAUGAGUGCUGGGUGUAGGAGGUAUUAACCCUCCUGUGCCGAAGCUAACGCAUUAAGCACUCCGCCUGGGGAGUACGGUCGCAAGGCUGAA
RNAcentral lists this ribosomal RNA (394 nucleotides) under uncultured bacterium. Its description in RNAcentral is "bacterial SSU rRNA". It matches the Rfam family "Bacterial small subunit ribosomal RNA", at positions 505 to 898 of the family's 1533-position model. The record is from RNAcentral.